Molecule: transfer RNA, 67 nt
Filed under: Botrylloides giganteus
Lineage: Eukaryota; Metazoa; Chordata; Ascidiacea; Stolidobranchia; Styelidae
Description: transfer RNA-Phe
Source: RNAcentral
UAUAAAGUAUUUUAGUUAAAAUAGAGUUUUGAAAAAGCUCAGAAAAGUGCGAGCCACUUCUUUAUGU